AAUUAUCAACUCCUAUUCUUUAUUGAAUGGUGAGCUUGGAUUUGGAGAUUGCUGGUGAAAAUCGGCUUCUCUUGAAUGAAUUAGCUGGAAUUUGAUUCGCAGCAUAUAUGCGGUGUGAUAAUGUCGUCACUGUGUAGCUCGGAUUGUCUGGCUUCUAAUCGUCUUUCAUGGACAAUUUGAUCA
Molecule: unclassified non-coding RNA, 183 nt
Filed under: uncultured Schizopora
Lineage: Eukaryota; Fungi; Basidiomycota; Agaricomycetes; Hymenochaetales; Schizoporaceae
Description: sequence contains ITS2
Source: RNAcentral